CCUCCACGGGCUCCUCGCCUCUCGGAGCGAUCUGUCGUAAGGAAGAGUAGCAAAAAAAGAAUUUUUCAGCUGGCAGUUUAUGAAGAGCACGAUGAGUGUCACAGUCAAGAGCAGAAAGAAAAACAGAAUGAUAAGCUCCAGCGCAGCGUCACUUGCCACCGUGGGAGAAGCGCGUGGUGGUGCCGACCAGCUCCGUGGUGCAUCUGGCAGUGACACGAUGCUAAAAAGGAAGAGAUCUUCUGAUAAACCCCCCCGGAUCAUCCCCCUGAGCUCUCAGAGAUGUCCCUGGAGGUGGAUGGGACAGUCCCACCGAUGGGACAGUCACCUCACUGCUGGGAGAGGACAAACAGGCUGUUUGCUCUGCCAGGUCCUUCAGCCAAGCUCCCACCAAACACGAUGCAAAUUGGGAACCGCUCAGGGUUCAGCCUCUCUGUGAAAGGCUGGAGCCUUUCCCCAGUUCCAGACUGGUAAAUAAUGCAUGAUCUCUCUCUUUCUCAUACGCUUACGCAACCCCUACCACGAUAAAUAUCAACCCAGGGAAAUGAAAGUGGAAAGAAACAUUAUCUUUCUCAGUAAUGCAACCAUUUACAAUCUGCGUUACGAUCCUUCUGCUCUCGGGAGUGAGCGGCAGGCAGGGGGAUGUUUCUAUUAGCAGACCAGAAUGCAACAAAUCACAGGCUGUAACUUUCCACUCCUGCAUAAAAGCAGCCUUAAAACCAUAUAAAGGAAAUAAUAAAAAAAAAAAUACAGAGAUGAUUUCCUUUUUUAAUCACUCCAAAGAAAACACUUAUUUCCAGGUGCCUGAGAAUCGGGUAUUAAGGACUAUAUUUUCAAAUGCAGGGCCAUAAAACUAAGCACUAGACACCUAAUCUGUGGAUCUUGCCUUUGGUGAUUAAAUAGGGGGCUGGAUGCCUGAGGAAAUUGGCCCAAGUGAAAAGGCAUCUUGAAAAUAUUUUGCUUCAAAAGAGCUUGUGUGUGCUAUUUAAAACUAACUUCUAACAUGAGGUUUCGCAGGGUAUGUUCGCACCAGCUGAAACAGAAGCAUUUAGAAAGUUUCCAGAGAAGUCUGUGAAAAAGGAAGCUUGAGUGCAUUUUAUCAGGGCUGCGUCUGGAUCCUUUCUUCUUCUCUGAGUGUGAGGAGCUUCAUGAUUCAUCAAGGCGAGCUCCAUCGACGGAUGGGGAAUAAGCACCCUGCACCUCCUGCCAUCCAGAUAGAAACCUUCUGUAAAACACAUGGAGCACCUCUGGAAGUGGGUGGCCUGCCCACAGCAAGGGAUGGUCAAUCCUCAGCAGAGCCAAGGUUUCCAUCAGCUGAACUCUUGUCUCCCAAACUGAAGUCAUCCGUCGGAUGGCAGAACAAAAGGGAGGAAGAGGAAAGCCCAGUUGCCAGGCAGAGAUGGGAAAAGAGAUCUGUGAGCAGAAAUCCUGGCUGGAAACAUCUGUGGAAGGGAAAACACUCAUCAUCUUGGGUCUCCAGUUAAUGUGGCUUAACCUUGUAAGUCCUCUUCACUCUCUUCAUUAAUUCUGAUGGCUUGGUGUCUUUGGCUCUUGUUGUCUAGGAGUGUAAUUAUCAUUAGUAAAGGUAAGGUAGCUGCCCGUGGUUGCCAAAUGGGAUGGGACUGCACCAUUCUGGAGCAGCCCUCACUUCAGGAAGCUGUGGAGAGGUGUUCCAUCGUAGGGUGGUGGCUCCUCUCUGGGGAUGCAAGCACCUGGUGGCCACCAGCCACCACCCAGGGAAGCUGUAAAAAAUGCCCUCAGCAAAGAUGGUCUAAAACUUAUGCUUCUGGAAUACACUUAGAAAGAAAAUCUAUCAGCAUGCGACAGGGGUUAUUUUAAUAAUCU
Molecule: long non-coding RNA, 1842 nt
Organism: Calidris pugnax (ruff)
Lineage: Eukaryota; Metazoa; Chordata; Aves; Charadriiformes; Scolopacidae
Exons: 6
Source: RefSeq, a predicted model, not a curated record